This is a long non-coding RNA of Notolabrus celidotus (New Zealand spotty), 659 nucleotides long. RefSeq lists it as uncharacterized. The transcript is spliced from 4 exons. The record is from RefSeq and is a predicted model, not a curated record. Lineage: Eukaryota; Metazoa; Chordata; Actinopteri; Labriformes; Labridae.
UAAAAAGCACCUGUGGCAACAUGGCUGCCUCUCUGUCUGGUUUGCCUGCCAGUUGCCACAUGCUCCUUGCACUGAGCCCCCUGUCUGCCUCGCUAGCUUGGGUGAAGUGGUGUCUGGUCUGAUUGAGUGUCUGUUCCAUUGGUCCUUUUUGCUUGAGGCGUCCUUGGUAGCUGUUCCCAUGGGUCAUUGUUACAGUGAAGCAAGUUCCUGGCCUUAUCGGCUGCUGUUUUGCCUUUUUGCUUUGCCUUGAUUGAUUUGCCUUUUUAUUGAUUUGUUUUGGCCUUGGAUGAAUGUAUGUGCUUUCAGUUUUUAACUGAACCAACUGGUUUAUUUGUUUUCUUUGUCUAAUACUUUUGUCAUUUCCCCUGUAGCGUGGUGGUUGCUAGCUGCUUAUUGAGGCUAGGCACUCUAGGUGGUUCCCUGCACUGUUCGUUGUUGUUAGCGCAUUGGGACACAAUAGUUUGCCUUGAGUUCACGAGUGGUGGGUAAGUUGCACUCCUGGAAGACACCCCUAGAUUUUAAGCUGCCUCCCCUCUGCUGGCACCCCUUGCUUCCCCCUCUGAUUUAGCUAAUUUUUAAAUCACAUUGAUUUGAAAGUGAAUUUUUAAGGGAAAAUAAAAAAAUUGUAUUGUAAUAAACUUUUAAUACAGCUCCCCCAA